UACGGGGGGGGCAAGCGUUGUUCGGAAUUACUGGGCGUAAAGGGCUCGUAGGUGGCCAACUAAGUCAGACGUGAAAUCCCCAGGCUCAACUUGGGAACUGCGUCUGAUACUGGUUGGCUUGAGUGCAGGAGAGGAACGCGGAAUUCCAGGUGUAGCGGUGAAAUGCGUAGAUAUCUGGAGGAACACCGGUGGCGAAGGCGGCGUUCUGGACUGCAACUGACACUGAGGAACGAAAGCCAGGGGAGCAAACGGG
Molecule: ribosomal RNA, 253 nt
Filed under: uncultured bacterium
Lineage: Bacteria
Description: partial 16S ribosomal RNA
Rfam family: Bacterial small subunit ribosomal RNA
Source: RNAcentral